This 7134-nucleotide long non-coding RNA is filed under the name Ananas comosus (pineapple). RNAcentral's name for it is "long non-coding RNA (ACOM_LNC017050)". The record is from RNAcentral. Lineage: Eukaryota; Viridiplantae; Streptophyta; Magnoliopsida; Poales; Bromeliaceae.
GGCCCGCUUCGGUUUUAUCCGGCGCAUCCUUUCCCUCGCACACGCACCCCACCAACUUCCUUGCCUCCGACCCUACCGAGGCCGCGCUGCGACUUUUUCUUUUUCCCUCUCCGACUCACCUCCACCGCCUCCAACGACGAUGCCUAUUUCACCAUCUCUCGCCCUUCUCACCCUUUUUUCUCCCUCCUCCUUCGCCUCCUCCGCCGCCUCCGACGACUUUUCUCUCAAAUAGUAUAAGUUUUGUUUAAAACAGUGCAACGUUUCUCUGAAAUAGUGUAACUUCAUCAUCUUCUUUUUUUUUAUCUGAUUUUUUAUUUUUCUUGUAAUUUUUUUUCACCCUCUCCGACCCUCAUCAUCUCCUCUGCCGCCUCGAGGCCCUCGGCAAUAGUAACGAGGGCGGCGCCACAUGCUCUUCCUCCAUCUACUCCUCCGCCGGCGCCGGAGGCCCUUGGCGACAGUAACGAGGGCGGUGCUGCCUCCUCCGCCAGCGUCGGAGAAAAAGAAGAACUCAAAACAGCCCGGGAUGAGGGACAGAGGCAAUGAGGUCGUUGUCGAGCAGGUACUCGUCACCCGUGAGGGUGAGGAAAAAAAAAAAAAGGGCCCAUCUCCAAGAAACGAACAAAGAUGCAAAUAGUAGAGAAAAAUUAAGAAUAAAAAGUAAAAAAAAAUAUUUUUUUUAAGAAAACAAUUAUAUAUUAUUUUUUGAUAGCAAUAAUGAUAUAUAAUGGUCCUUCUCAUCCGAAUCCGCUUUCAGUUCUCUUUCUCCUUCUUCGGCGUCGGCGGAGGAAGCGGCACCGCCAUCGUUACCGUCGUCGAGGGCCGCCGGCGCCGGCGGAAGAGAAGAUGGAGGAAGAGGUUGUGACACCACCUUCGUUACUGUUGCCGAGGGUCCUGAGGCGGUGGAGGAGACGAUGAGGGUCGGAGAGGGUGAAAAGAAGUUACAAGAAAAAUAAAAAGUCAGAUAGAAAAGAAGAUGAUGAUGAAAUUACACUAUUUUAGAAGAACGUUGCACUUUUUGGACGAAAAUUAUACUAUUUCUCUUCUUCAUCCUCCUCCUCCUUUCUUGUUUUCGUAUGGAUGAUGAGAAAUAGUGUAAUUUUCACCCAAAAAAUACAAAUUUCAUUCAAAUUAAGAAUGCAACUUUUAUUUAGAAAAAUAUUUUUGUUUAAAACAGUGCAAUGUCCCUCUAAAAUAAUGCAUCUUCAUCUUAUUCUUAUUUUCUUUCUGAUUCUUUAUUUUUAUUGUAGAAAAAAGUAUUUCUUAUAUUUUAUUCUUUAUUCUUUUCAUUUUAUUAUUUUCUAUAUUUGUUUUCUUGGUCCUCUUUCUUUGCCGUCGGUGUCGGUGCAUGCGCCGGCGAAGGCAGAGUAAGAGGACGCGGCGCUAUUUUUAUUACUGUCAUGGAAGAUCGCAGGGGUGGUUGAGGGGGAUCAAAUAGAAAAAAAAAAAAAGAAUGAGCGAAAAAAAUGAAAGGAAGAGAAUGCGGCAUUACGCUCUUUACUGUCGUAAAGAGCCAAGGAAUUAAGCGAUGGAGGAGGGUCGUAGAGGAAAAAAAAAAAAAAAAGAGGGUCGUGGCACGGCCUCGGCGGGAUUAGAGACAAGGAAGGCAGAGGGUACGCGGACGAGGGUGAGAGUGAUCCGGACAGAGGCGAGACAGGCGGUCUCCACCCCCGCCGCCCUCUUGGGAGAGAAAGGAAAAAAAAGAACGAGAGAAAAAAAAGACGGGAGAAAGGGAAUAAAGAUAUUUUGGUCUUUUUUGAAAAUCAGGCUCGAAUGCAAAAUCUAAAAAUACGGCCUACUUUUACAAAAGCUCAAAACUAGUAAAUUUUUUAUGCAAAUUGGCCCUAAUUAAUUAUUUGAUAUUCAUCAGAAAUAUUCAUAUAUAUAAAAGUCGUUGGAAAAUGCAUUAAAACCCCGUUAACUACAGACUAUUAUGAAAGAAGCCUCGCGAAUUUAAAGUCUUUGGUUAACACCUUGAUUUUUUAUAUUUUUGGAAUUGACUAAUUUUUUUCAAUUAAAUUAGAGAUUUUAUCCAACUCAUCAGCAAUUUCAUCAAAUUUGGUAAUUUUAAUUACUUUUUAGCAAAUAAAUUAAAAUAUUUAAUGAUCAAUAGCUGAAAAGGAAUUUGCAUUUAAUAUAAGUCUUAGUCCCUCUGUUAUCAUGAUCCCUACAAUUAGGGCCGGCAAAUGAGCGAGCCGGCUCGCGUUCGACUCGAGACUUGAUAUUUGGCUCACUCGAGCUCGACUCGAAAUUAAAUAAGCCGAACUUGAUCAAAAAAAAAAGGGCUCAAAAUUCAUUUCAAGCCGAGCUUGAGUAUUACUCGGCUUGUUCGAAUUAGGCUCGAAAACCGAGAAUAUAUAUAUAUAUAUAUAGAGAGAGAGAGAGAGAGAGAGCUACUAUGCUAUCGUAAGUAUAGAGAAUCUGGUGCUUCCGAUUUUUUGAUUCUUACAUCAAUCACUUUAAUCAUUUCUUACCUUUAGAUUAAUACUAUUAUUACCAUGUAGGGACCACUCAAUCCUAAGGGUAUUAUUUAAUCCUAGGGAGGACCGCAAUCAUCUCAAUCGUAUAAUUCUUAAUCAAAGGGUCAAAAAUUCGGAAGUAUCAAAUUCUCUAUAUUUUCGAUAGCAUAGUAGUUCUACACUAUAUAUAUAUAUAUAUAUAUAUAUAUAUAUAUAUAUAUAUAUAGAGAGAGAGAGAGAGAGAGAGCUACUAUGCUAUCGUAAGUAUAGAGAAUCUGGUGCUUCCGAUUUUUUGAUUCUUACAUCAAUCACUUUAAUCAUUUCUUACCUUUAGAUUAAUACUAUUAUUACCAUGUAGGGACCACUCAAUCCUAAGGGUAUUAUUUAAUCCUAGGGAGGACCGCAAUCAUCUCAAUCGUAUAAUUCUUAAUCAAAGGGUCAAAAAUUCGGAAGUAUCAAAUUCUCUAUAUUUUCGAUAGCAUAGUAGUUCUACACUAUAUAUAUAUAUAUAUAUAUAUAUAUAUAUAUAUAUAUAUAUAGAGAGAGAGAGAGAGAGAGAGNAAGGCGGAAAAGAAGACAUGUGAGGCUGAAAAGAUUAGAUAUUCAACUCAUAAAUUAUUUUUCUUCAUAUUAUAAUACCAUAUUUCAUAUAAUUAUUUUGUACUUUGAACUAUUAGACAUAUUUUUGUAUCAAAUUAUAGAUAAUGUUCUAUACAAAUUAAACUAUUGAUUGUAUGAUGUUGAGGAUUUCAAGGGGCUCGUUUAAGGCUCGAGCUUGCUCGACUCGAAAUUAGGCUUGCUCGAGCUCGGCUCGAAUUAAUUUCAAACCAAGCUUGAGCUUAAAUUUAGGCUCGAAAUUAAUUUCAAGCCGAAUUUGAGCCGAGGUAAACUCGCUUGAGCUCGGCUCGUUUCCACCCCUACCUACAAUUAAUGGAGUUUAAAUAUUUUAGUUUACACUGAGAACAAUUUAGGGUUAAUUGUAUGUGUGUCCAUACAAAGCAAUAAAAUUGCAUUUUUACCUCUACAAAAUUUUAUAUUAUCUCUAUAAAGUUGUAGUUAGCAAAUAUAUAUUCCACUAAAGUUUCAUAGUUUGCAAAUAUGUCCUUCUCCGUUAGUUAACCGGUUAGCAAAAUUACCAUUUUAUCUAUAAAUAAAUAAAUAAAUAAAUAAAUAUAUAUAUAUAUAUAUAUAUAUAUAUAUAUAUUAUAUUUAAUAGUAUUUAUAAUUUUUAAUAUUUUUAUUCUAACUUACAUUCCAUUCUAUGUGUACCUUAUAUUAUAAAUUUCAAUAACAAUUUUUUAAAAAAUCGCAGUCCGGUGAAAAUUUAACGUCAACUAAUAAUAGUCAACCUGUCGGAAUAAACUUUUAUAUUUUGGAGAUUUCGAGAAAUAUAUUUAAUAAUUAAACUUUUAUAAGGAUGCAAUAAAAUUUUGGAGGAACAAAAAUAUGCAAUUUCAUAGCUUUGUAGGGACACGUAUGCAAUUAUUCCAACAAUUUAAGUUUUAAUAUGCACGGAUAGUAACUUUAUUGCCCCUACGGCAACUUAUUUCCUAUACAUUUUCAAUUUAGGUACGUUAGGCUUAAAAAUUUUAAAUAUAUUACACUUUAACCCUUGAUCAUUAAUAAUAAAAUUUAAUCAUGUUUAAUAUUAUGUUUGACUAUGAUAGUAAUAAUAAUAUUUAAUUAUGUUUUGAAGUACACUUAAAAUAAGGGGAAUCACUUAAAAUAGAAGGACAAAGUGUUUAUUUUGUAAAAAAACUUUUAGCCAUUUUUGAGUAAAAAAUUUUGUAAGAAACUUUUAGCCAUUUUUAAGUAAAAAUUUUGUAAAAAUUCUCGUAAAUUUUUUUUAUUUUUCUCUCAUAAAGUAAGCUUAUUUUCAUAAUUGAAAUACUUUUUCCUUUUGUAGUUGUAUGUUUCUUUAUAAUUAGACCUUCUCGAGUAUUUACUAUCAAAUCUUUUACCAUUUACGUUAGAAACAAUCGGUGAUUAUAGAUAACUGUUUGCAGAAGAAAUGUAUCCUUUAGGUUGGAAAUUAAACAUCUUUGUUUGGCAGUUAACUGCCAUUUUCAAUGAAAGAAAACUGACAAUUAAGUUGAUAAAUAUCAACAUUUACUUUUCUAUGGGUUAUAUAUAUAUAUAGGGGGCCUACAUCAUUCUAACCGCACACCUUUUAAUCCAAGAAUGGAAAACUUAAUAGCACCAAGUCAUUGGUGCUAUUAAUAGUAUUCUAGCCUAGUUUUAUAUAUAUAUAUAGAGAGAGAGAGAGAGUUGGACUGGGCUACUAUUAGUAGCAAAAUCUCAUUGUUGCUACCAGUUUUUUAGCCUUUGGAUCAACUCUUUUCAUUAUUUCUAACCAUUGGAUUAAAUACUAUAACCCAGUGGGGACCACUCAACUCUAUGGGGACCACUCAACUCUAACCGACUAAUAUCAUCCUGACCUUAUAAUUUUUCAUCCAAAGAUUAAAAACUUGAUAACAAAAAGAACGUUUUACUAUUAAUAGUAUUCCAGCCUAAUUCUAUAUAUAUAUAUAUAUAGAUAUCCUUCUUUUGGGAUGAAUAAGUAAUAAAAUCAAGUUCAUGGGUUGUUUCCUCAUGUUUCUAGUGGGGCCAUAUAUAUGUACAUAUUAUACAUGGAUAAGCAAAAACCAAUAGGUAACCUACACUCAUGAACAUCAUGUGAAACAUCAAGGAAUUUAGAUGAGAAACUUCUUGAUCAAGUAGUGUUUGUCCAAAAGCAUAUAUAGCUCAUCACCAUCAAAGAGAAAAAAAAAAAAAAGGAGAAUAGUCCUUUACAAGGAGAAAGAGAAAAUUGACUCUAUAAAGAAGUGAGAUGCACAACAAAAAGAUGACAUAUAUACUAUUCUAAAGUUUGAGAGCAACUAACAUCGUCGACCCACACACAAUAGAUGCUUACUUGGAUGCUUAUACUUUAAGCUUCGGCUUAUUCUGAUGUCUAGCUAUUUGUUCCCCAAUAAUAUAAUGCGAGUUUGUCUCAGAACAUUUAUAUAUAGAGAGAGAGAGUCAGGUUAUUAUAUUCUUACGUAUUUGAAUUUUUUAUACUUAUAAGCUUUCGCUGUUAGAUCUAUCCAUUUAAUCAUUUUUAUUAGAUUAUACAAUUCAACGAACCACCCCCUCAACUCUAGAGGAUCACUAUCAUUCUGAUCGGAGACCACUAUCAUCCUAGCCGCACUCUUCAUCCAACGAUCGAAAAUUUAUGAAUACAAAGGUUUCUAUACUCAUAAAAAGUAAUAGUAGCGCUACUAUAUAUGAGUAGGCCCCUUCAUACUAAUAAGUUUUUUUUUUUAUAAUGGAACUUCUGAAUUGAUGAUCAAUACCGUUAAAUAUGAUCCAGAGUAUUUGAAAUUUAUAAAAAAUAAAUUUCAUAAUUUUUGAAAUUAUGUUAAAUUUUAUCAAGCGGGUAUAAAAUGAACGGUCGAAAUUGAACAACCUCUUAAAAAUAUAUGAUCGGAUUCUUUAAUUUAAGAUCGGAGCUAUUGAUCUUUAUUUAGAUAGUGAAUAAAAUUUUCUAUUAAAAAUUCAACCGAUUUGAUUCUUUUAUACGUUAAACUAGCAAGCAUCUCAUACCAGCCGCGCGUUAAAAAUUAUCAAUUUUAAGAUCUUUUAAUCUUAAGGUAAAUGAUGUCGAAAAGUUAUAAAAUUUGAUUCCUAAAAGUUUUAAAUGCUUUAAAUUAUAUUUAAAGGUAUGAAUUAUCGAUUCGGAAUCUUUAUUAUCGAAAACGACUUAUAAAUAUUGUCAUGCUCAUAAAAGUAUAGAAGCCGAACUUUAUAUAUAUGGCACUCAAAGAUACGUGUUGUUUACUAAUAGUGAGUAAGUCCUUAUAAUGAAAAGAAACAAAUACAAGUUCAACAUGUUGAAACUCAAUAUAGUAUUGGUGUUGAACAUGUCCAUCUAUGUACAUAUAAGUGUUGCGUGUUCUAUACUUCUAUUGCGAUACAUGAUGAAAGUUAAAGGCAAAGUAAGAUUAAUCGUGCAUGUCAUUUUCAUCAUGUUAAAGCUUCAGGAAAAUGUUUUAUAAUGAAAGAGGACGAAGAGGAGUGUUGGAGAAGUAAUUGUGGGGGUUUGAACUAAAUGGGUUUGGUCCACCACCUCCCUACUACAAUUUCCUAUUCCUUUAUGGAGAUUUGGCACGAAAUUAAGGGGAAAUUAGAUAUAAUAAUGCUAUUGCAAAGUGGAAGUAGAGAUUAAGAUUAAGCUACUUUUGUAUUAAGUAAGCUCAGCUAUUUAUGUUGUUGCGUGUAGAAUUUUCUUUCACCAAAAAAACAUGAUGUUAAAUAAUUAAAGUGACAUGCUUAAUUAUAUAUUUCGACUUUUCUAUUGCUAUGCAUUGAUUGUCUACAUGGUACUUGAUUAGUUGCUUACCCUUUAGAAUAGUUUUUCUUUUUCUUUUUUUUCUUUUUUUGAAAAAAAAUGAUAGCAUGCUUUUCCUUACAGAAUUUGUUAAUUAUUUUUUUUAGAAAUAAAAUAAGUUUGAAUUGUAAAGCAAUUAAUUAACUAAGUUUCAAACUUAAAAUCUCGUUUAUCAAUUAUAAAGUUCUUCGCCACCUGCGCUAGGGAUCGAUGGUCAGUACGUAAUAGCUUUUUUGUUAUAAAAAUUAAAACCGUGUGUACUCGACAAUAGAAACUCUUGUUAAAACUAUUUAACUAUUGUAGAAAUUA